CCCUUAGAUGUUCUGGGCCGCACGCGUGCUACACUGAGUGGAUCAGCGGGUCAGGUUGCGCGAAAGCGUUUCCUAAUCUUUAAAUCCGCUCGUGAUGGGGAUUGACGGUUGCAAUUUUCUGUCAUGAACGAGGAAUACCUUGUAAGCGCGGGUCAUCAUCCCGCGGUGAAUACGUCCCUGCCCUUUGUACACACCGCCCGUCGCUCCUACCGAUUGAGUGGUCCGGUGAGGCUUUGGGAUCUGAGCGGAAAGAGCGUUUCGCUGUUUCUGCUCGGAAAACUCAGUCGAACCUUAUCAUUUAGAGGAAGGAGAAGUCGUAACA
RNAcentral lists this ribosomal RNA (322 nucleotides) under uncultured eukaryote. RNAcentral describes it as "partial 18S ribosomal RNA". It matches the Rfam family "Eukaryotic small subunit ribosomal RNA", at positions 1470 to 1796 of the family's 1831-position model. The record is from RNAcentral.